RNAcentral lists this ribosomal RNA (142 nucleotides) under uncultured bacterium. Its description in RNAcentral is "partial 16S ribosomal RNA". It matches the Rfam family "Bacterial small subunit ribosomal RNA", at positions 372 to 509 of the family's 1533-position model. The record is from RNAcentral.
UGGGCGGAAGCCUGAACCAGCCAAGUCGCGUGAGGGAAGACGGUCCUAUGGAUUGUAAACCUCUUUUGCAGGGGAGCAAGGCACGGUACGUGUACCGUGAAGGAGAGUACCCUGAAGAAAAAGCAUCGGCUAACUCCGUGCC